This is an RNA transcript of Aptenodytes forsteri (emperor penguin), 601 nucleotides long. RefSeq lists it as uncharacterized. The transcript has 2 exons. The record is from RefSeq and is a predicted model, not a curated record. NCBI's taxonomy places the organism in Eukaryota, Metazoa, Chordata, Aves, Sphenisciformes, Spheniscidae.
GGGCUGGGGCAGCGAGGGAACUGCUGCCGGGAGAACACAGGAGAGGGUUCAAAGGUUGCAGAAGCAAUCUGUUGAGGUUAUAGUGCCCUUCAGGGCUUUAAAUAGGAAGCCGUUCUGCCUUUUCCUGUGUCCUGGAAUGCAGAAGGGAACUGGAAAGGGGAACUGCAAAGGGCAGGAGAAAUGAGCCUGACCGUGCCUCUGUGAAGGCGAGGAGGCUGUAUCCUCUUAGAGGUUCCUCUCUUGCUGCUGUGGGAAGCCUGCUGCUUUCCCUACUCGAUUCCCUAAUUCCUGCUGCACCUGUUAAAAGCAGAUGUCAGUAGUUACGUCUUCAUCUGGUCACCUUAGGUGUUUCUUCUCUCCUGUGAAGAAUCUGCCCCCUUGUAGGGAAGAGGAGCGUGGUGUAGAGCCUUGCUGCCUGCAAGGAGCAGAAGGACGGACAGGGGAUGAGCUGGAGGGAACAGACUGACUGGACAGGAGUCUUCUAGUGGUAGUUCACUGCUGGACUAGUAGGGAAGGAAAGGAAUGGUUGGACCUGUGGGACAUCGGAAUUCAGAUAGUGCUGUAUUUAUUACAGAGAAAUAAAGGCGUUUAUUUGGACCUA